GGUCUCCUCUCCUGAAGCUGAUCAUCUAUCUCUCGAGAUGUAUUAAAGCUGUACUGCAGAAGGAUCCGAGUGGCCUGCCAGAAGUAUGUGUUCUUUUCUUCAAAUGCUAUCCAAGUGCUCUCUCCGUAAAAAGAUUGUAUCAAGAACUCCAGGCAUUCAAUGCUACUGCAGGGGAAAAGGUGGCCUUUGAAAAAAUCCAGGACUGCUAGAAAGAGGGAGGAUUAAGAAACAUAUUUAUGGAACCUGAAAUUAUGGAAGCCAUGGACUCCAGCCCUGAGUGCAAGGCAUUCUAUAAUAGUGGCUCCAUAAGGUCCAUUUUAGACCUUCUUUCCAAGUUAUUAGAGGAAUAGAAGAGUUAAUGUGUUUUGGGCAACCCAUCUUUGCAACAUGUGUAAUCCUAGUGCCAUCUUGCUGACCUGUCCUCUUUCUCUCCUGAAGUUGGAUUCCUGUUCCUGUUCCUUCAUCAUUCAGUCUCUUAGACUGAUUCUAAUAAAGGCUUGCAGCUCUGUUCUGUGA
Molecule: RNA transcript, 516 nt
Organism: Mus musculus (house mouse)
Lineage: Eukaryota; Metazoa; Chordata; Mammalia; Rodentia; Muridae
Gene: Scgb2b23-ps
Gene name: secretoglobin, family 2B, member 23, pseudogene
Exons: 3
Source: RefSeq, marked validated